Molecule: ribosomal RNA, 746 nt
Filed under: uncultured prokaryote
Description: bacterial SSU rRNA
Rfam family: Bacterial small subunit ribosomal RNA
Source: RNAcentral
GUUACCUUCGGGUAAUGAGGAUGGCGGACGGGUGAGUAACGCGUAAGGAACUUGCCUCUUGGUCUGGGACAACUGUUGGAAACGACAGCUAAUACCGGAUAUUAUGAGAUUCUCGCAUGGGAAACUUAUGAAAGCUAUAUGCGCCAAGAGAGAGCCUUGCGUUCCAUUAGCUAGUUGGUGGGGUAACGGCCCACCAAGGUGACGAUGGAUAGCCGGCCUGAGAGGGUGAACGGCCACAAGGGGACUGAGACACGGCCCUUACUCCUACGGGAGGCAGCAGUGGGGAAUAUUGGACAAUGGGCCACAAGCCUGAUCCAGCAAUUCUGUGUGCACGAUGAAGGUCUUCGGAUUGUAAAGUGCUNNNNNNUGGGAAGAAGAAAGUGACGGUACCAACAGAAGAAGCGACGGCUAAAUACGUGCCAGCAGCCGCGGUAAUACGUAUGUCGCAAGCGUUAUCCGGAUUUAUUGGGCGUAAAGCGCGUCUAGGCGGAAAAAUAAGUCUGAUGUUAAAAUGCGGGGCUCAACUCCGUAUUGCGUUGGAAACUGUUUUUCUAGAGUACUGGAGAGGUGGGCGGAACUACAAGUGUAGAGGCGAAAUUCGUAGAUAUUUGUAGGAAUGCCGAUGGAGAAGUCAGCUCACUGGACAGAUACUGACGCUAAANCGCGAAANCNUGGGGAGCAAACAGGAUUAGAUACCCUGGUAGUCCACGCCGUAAACGAUGAUCACUAGGUNUUGGGGGUCGAAC